UGGGGAAUCUUGCACAAUGGGCGAAAGCCUGAUGCAGCGACGCCGCGUGCGGGAUGAAGGCCUUCUGGUUGUAAACCGCUUUCAGCAGGGACGAGGCCGCAAGGUGACGGUACCUGCAGAAGAAGCCCCGGCUAACUACGUGCCAGCAGCCGCGGUAAUACGUAGGGGGCAAGCGUUAUCCGGAUUCAUUGGGCGUAAAGCGCGCGUAGGCGGUUUGUUAGGUCAGGAGUUAAAUCUGGGGGCUCAACCCCUAUCCGCUCCUGAUACCGGCAGGCUUGAGUCUGGUAGGGGAAGGCGGAAUUCCAAGUGUAGCGGUGAAAUGCGCAGAUAUUUGGAAGAACACCGGUGGCGAAGGCGGCCUUCUGGGCCACGACUGACGCUGAGGCGCGAAAGCUAGGGGAGCGAACAGG
RNAcentral lists this ribosomal RNA (410 nucleotides) under Verrucomicrobiota bacterium. Its description in RNAcentral is "Verrucomicrobia bacterium partial 16S ribosomal RNA". It matches the Rfam family "Bacterial small subunit ribosomal RNA", at positions 355 to 776 of the family's 1533-position model. The record is from RNAcentral. Lineage: Bacteria; Pseudomonadati; Verrucomicrobiota.